This 795-nucleotide ribosomal RNA is filed under the name uncultured bacterium. Its description in RNAcentral is "bacterial SSU rRNA". It matches the Rfam family "Bacterial small subunit ribosomal RNA", at positions 8 to 796 of the family's 1533-position model. The record is from RNAcentral.
AGAGUUUGAUCAUGGCUCAGAUUGAACGCUGGCGGCAUGCUUUACACAUGCAAGUCGAACGGCAGCACGGGUGCUUGCACCUGGUGGCGAGUGGCGAACGGGUGAGUAAUGUAUCGGAACGUAUCCGGAAGUGGGGGAUAACGUAGCGAAAGUUACGCUAAUACCGCAUAUGCCCUGAGGGGGAAAGUGGGGGACCGUAAGGCCUCACGCUUUCGGAGCGGCCGAUAUCAGAUUAGCUAGUUGGUGAGGUAAAGGCUCACCAAGGCUUCGAUCUGUAGCUGGUCUGAGAGGACGACCAGCCACACUGGGACUGAGACACGGCCCAGACUCCUACGGGAGGCAGCAGUGGGGAAUUUUGGACAAUGGGGGCAACCCUGAUCCAGCCAUGCCGCGUGAGUGAAGAAGGCCUUCGGGUUGUAAAGCUCUUUCAGAUGGGAAGAAACGGUUACGGAUAAUACCUGUAGCUAAUGACGGUACCGUCAGAAGAAGCACCGGCUAACUACGUGCCAGCAGCCGCGGUAAUACGUAGGGUGCGAGCGUUAAUCGGAAUUACUGGGCGUAAAGCGUGCGCAGGCGGUUUUUCAAGCCAGAUGUGAAAUCCCCGGGCUCAACCUGGGAACUGCAUUUGGAACUGGAAGGCUAGAGUACGGCAGAGGGGGGUAGAAUUCCACGUGUAGCAGUGAAAUGCGUAGAGAUGUGGAGGAAUACCGAUGGCGAAGGCAGCCCCCUGGGUCGAUACUGACGCUCAUGCACGAAAGCGUGGGGAGCAAACAGGAUUAGAUACCCUAGUAGUCC